Molecule: long non-coding RNA, 348 nt
Organism: Mytilus californianus (California mussel)
Lineage: Eukaryota; Metazoa; Mollusca; Bivalvia; Mytilida; Mytilidae
Exons: 2
Source: RefSeq, a predicted model, not a curated record
UUUUAUUACGAACAAAAGAUCAGUGCCAACUAAGGUAUCAAGCAGACUAACAAUGGUAUCGAAACUUUGUGUUGCAUUUUACGUUAUUUUGAUAUUGGCAGCAUUUGUGCAGUCAUUACCAAUGACAGGUAAGACCAAACGAGGAGGUUUAUCGACGGUUGAACUCAAUAAAAAGAGAGCAACAAACUUUUUGCAUAGAGAACGCAGAGAAUCCUGGAGAGGAUGGUUUUCAAAUGAAUUUGAUGAACAAGAGGAGAAUGAUGAUCUUGAAGAAUGGAAUCCAUUUGAAUUUAAGAAGAGAACACUAUAAAGAAAUAUGAAAUUUGAUUAAAUAUUCCUAAAAUAUUA